Molecule: ribosomal RNA, 253 nt
Filed under: uncultured bacterium
Lineage: Bacteria
Description: partial 16S ribosomal RNA
Rfam family: Bacterial small subunit ribosomal RNA
Source: RNAcentral
UACGGAGGAGGCAAGCGUUAUCCGGAAUUAUUGGGCGUAAAGCGUCCGCAGGUGGCACUUCAAGUCUGUCGUCAAAGACUGGGGCUUAACCCUGGAAAGGCGGUGGAAACUGAAGCGCUAGAGUGCGGUAGGGGUAGAGGGAAUUCCCGGUGUAGCAGUGAAAUGCGCAGAUAUCAGGAAGAACACCAACGGCGAAGGCAGCUCGCUGGGACGGAACUGACGCUAAGGCGCGAAAGCGUGGGGAGCGAACAGG